This 199-nucleotide long non-coding RNA is filed under the name Lathyrus oleraceus (garden pea). RNAcentral describes it as "Pisum sativum (pea) long non-coding RNA (PSAT_LNC015993)". The record is from RNAcentral. Lineage: Eukaryota; Viridiplantae; Streptophyta; Magnoliopsida; Fabales; Fabaceae.
AGAGGGAAGGUGUUAGCACCCAAAGUAUCCUAGGUACUCCUAGGGAGCCCUUUUUUAUGUGUGUAUGUGUUUUGGUAUAAACGAUGUUUGCAAUAAAUAGAAUGUGGGGAUGAGAAGAAAUUUCAUUAAUUAUAUUUUUGUGUUUGACAAGAGCUUCAGACUUGUGCCUACGUAUCAACAUAAAAAUGAGGGGUCAAAC